AAGACCUUGCGCUUUUGGAGCGGCCGAUGCCUGAUUAGCUUGUUGGUAAGGUAAAAGCUUACCAAGGCUUCGAUCAGUAGCUGGUCUGAGAGGACGGCCAGCCACACUGGGACUGAGACACGGCCCAGACUCCUACGGGAGGCAGCAGUGGGGAAUUUUGGACAAUGGGGGCAACCCUGAUCCAGCCAUGCCGCGUGAGUGAAGAAGGCCUUCGGGUUGUAAAGCUCUUUCAGCCGGAACGAAACGGUUACGGUUAAUACCCGUGACUACUGACGGUACCGGAAGAAGAAGCACCGGCUAACUACGUGCCAGCAGCCGCGGUAAUACGUAGGGUGCGAGCGUUAAUCGGAAUUACUGGGCGUAAAGCGUGCACAGGUGGUUUUGUAAGUCAGAUGUGAAAGCCCCGGGCUCAACCUGGGAACU
RNAcentral lists this ribosomal RNA (423 nucleotides) under uncultured bacterium. RNAcentral's name for it is "bacterial SSU rRNA". It matches the Rfam family "Bacterial small subunit ribosomal RNA", at positions 207 to 622 of the family's 1533-position model. The record is from RNAcentral.